UGAGUAAAUCAGGUGAUCGCGGGCACUUGAUGUCAAGUGCCUGAGGAAAGUCCGAGCUCCAUAGGGCAGGGUGCUGGGUAACACCCAGUGGGGGCGACCCCAAGGAUAGUGCCACAGAAAUGUAGACCGCCCAGCACUCAACCCAGUGAAUGAAAGGUUGCCUUUUGUUUGAAGAAUAGUUUUUCACGUGAAAGAUAAUCUUUCAAUUACCGGGUUGAGUGCUGGGUAAGGGUGCAACGGUGCGGUAAGAGCGCACCAGCGGCCGGGCGACCGGCCGGCUAGGUAAACCCCACCCGGAGCAAGACCGAAUAGGGGGACCAUGGAGUGGCCCGCUCCGUCCCCGGGUCAGGUCGCUAGAGGCGUUAGGCAACUAACGUCCCAGAUAGAUGAUCACCCACGACAGAACUCGGCUUAUAGGUUUACUCACAAA
This 430-nucleotide RNase P RNA is filed under the name Peptococcaceae bacterium. RNAcentral describes it as "RNase P RNA component class A". It matches the Rfam family "Bacterial RNase P class A". Rfam says of the family: Ribonuclease P (RNase P) is a ubiquitous endoribonuclease, found in archaea, bacteria and eukarya as well as chloroplasts and mitochondria. Its best characterised activity is the generation of mature 5'-ends of tRNAs by cleaving the 5'-leader elements of precursor-tRNAs. Lineage: Bacteria; Bacillati; Bacillota; Clostridia; Eubacteriales; Peptococcaceae. The record is from RNAcentral.